This 264-nucleotide ribosomal RNA is filed under the name Chloropicon laureae. Its description in RNAcentral is "partial Bacterial small subunit ribosomal RNA". It matches the Rfam family "Bacterial small subunit ribosomal RNA", at positions 90 to 354 of the family's 1533-position model. The record is from RNAcentral. Lineage: Eukaryota; Viridiplantae; Chlorophyta; Chloropicophyceae; Chloropicales; Chloropicaceae.
GGCGACCGGCGCACGGGUGCGGAACGCGUAUGGAACCUGCCCCUGUCAGGGGAAUAGCCCAGGGAAACUUGGAUUAAUGCCCCAUGGUACCGUUAUAUCGCAUGAUAUUACGGUUAAAGAUUUAUCGGACAGGGAUGGCCAUGCGUACCAUUAGUUAGUUGGUGAGGUAACGGCUCACCAAGGCAGCGAUGGUUAGGGGCCCUGAGAGGGGGAUCCCCCACACUGGUACUGAGACACGGACCAGACUCCUACGGGAGGCAGCAG